Molecule: long non-coding RNA, 379 nt
Organism: Oncorhynchus tshawytscha (Chinook salmon)
Lineage: Eukaryota; Metazoa; Chordata; Actinopteri; Salmoniformes; Salmonidae
Source: Ensembl
CUUGGGUACUUUUUUUCCACCAAUGGAUGGUUGUCUAUCGGUAAUCCUAUAGAUCCAGGUCUCUAUCAUCUCAGCAGCUUAGCUGUCAGGUCAGGCAUCUGUCUCCUAUAGAUCCAGGUCUCUAUCAUCUCAGCAGCUUAGCCAGCAGGUCAGGGGGUUCCAGGCAUCUGUCUCCUAUAGAUCCAGGUCCCUAUCAUCUCAGCAGCUUAGCCAGCAGGUCAGGUCAGGCAUCUGUCUCCUAUAGAUCCAGGUCUCUAUCAUCUCAGCAGCUUAGCCAGCAGGUCAGGUCGGGCAUCUGUCUCCUAUAGAUCCAGGUCUCUAUCAUCUCAGCAGCUUAGCCAACAGGUCAGGUCAGGCAUCUGUCUCCUAGAGAUCCAGG